This 404-nucleotide ribosomal RNA is filed under the name uncultured organism. RNAcentral's name for it is "bacterial SSU rRNA". It matches the Rfam family "Bacterial small subunit ribosomal RNA", at positions 346 to 762 of the family's 1533-position model. The record is from RNAcentral.
GUGCAGCAGUCGCGAAACUUCGGCAAUGGGCGCAAUCCUGACCGAGCGACGCCGCGUGGAGGACGAAGGCCUUCGGGUUGUAAACUCCUGUCGAGGGGGGAGGAAGGGGCAACCUUGACCGAUCCCUGGAGGAAGCACGGGCUAAGUUCGUGCCAGCAGCCGCGGUAAGACGAACCGUGCGAACGUUAUCCGGAAUCACUGGGCUUAAAGCGCGUGUAGGCGGGCCGCCCCGUCGGCUGCUGAAAUCCCCCGGCUCAACCGGGGAGGUGGCACCGAUACGAGCGGCCUCGAGGGGGGUAGGGGGUCUGGAACUUCCGGUGGAGCGGUGAAAUGCGUUGAGAUCGGAAGGACGCCGUGGCGAAAGCGAGGCCCUGGACCCUUAUGACGCUGAGACGCGAAAGCCA